RNAcentral lists this long non-coding RNA (1020 nucleotides) under Olea europaea subsp. europaea. The record is from RNAcentral. Lineage: Eukaryota; Viridiplantae; Streptophyta; Magnoliopsida; Lamiales; Oleaceae.
GUUUAUAGCUGCUCCAUUGUCGACAAGCACUUUUGCCACUGGGAUGCCGUUAACUAGAGCUUUAACGUACAAUGGUCUCAAGUGUUUAGUCAAUUUCAUGGCUGGCCGUUUAAAAAUAACCUUUUCGGCAGCCUCUAUUUCUACUUCUUGCUUGUUUUUUGUCGAAUUAUCCCCCUGUGAUAAGUCAACGUGCUGUAUAUCGCGCUGAUCCUCUGUCUCCUGAACUUCCUUCUUACUUUUUUUCUAAUGCGUCCUCAUCAGUUACCCAACCUGUGGGAGGGGGCAUUAUCCUUGGAGGUGACCCAUACUUUUCAGAGCGAGGCACUCUCUUCUUCCUUUUGGGUGUCCUGUACAGUACGUAGAAAUCGAAAGGACGCCCAGAUGGUUCUCCCAACAAGUCUACUUCGCGAACUCCUUCUUAAUGUAGUUGCUUCAACAGAGUAUUGCGCGAUACUCCUCUCUUUCUUCCUUCUGCUUCUAGGUCGAUUUCUUCUUCAAUGUCUAUCAUCCCGUCGUCCUCUUCAUCGUUGUAGACCUCUCUAGAAGUCUAGCCUUCUUCACAUUCCAGCACGCAAGCUUCUCCUUCGUUGUCCUCCCUCUCUCAUUUUUUUCUUUAUUUUUGAAUUCAUUGGCCAGUAAGUAAUUAUUGGCCACGACAGGAAGCAACGUACCAAAUUGGAUAGUAAGGGGCUGAUCUGGAUCUUCUCCAUCCCUUCUGUCUCGCUCAAACUUUGAUCUCCCAGAAGAAGUUUCUGACAGUUCCUUCAUUGAUUCAUCUGUACCGGUCUCUUCACUAUCUUUGAGGACAUUUUGAUUGGCUACUUUGAGUAGUUUAGGCGCUUUAGGAUGUGGCACUCCCUGUUGCUGCCUCAUCAUCCGUCUAUAGUUUCGUUGGAAACGCCUUUGUUGGGUUCUAGUCAUCUCAUCGAAGGGUAUUGCCCUUCCUGCAUUAUACUGGAAUGAAUGUCAUACAUUUGGCCAGCGAGGUUGCGGCCUGAAUGUUCUUCCAUUAUCUGUUGG